RNAcentral lists this ribosomal RNA (384 nucleotides) under uncultured bacterium. Its description in RNAcentral is "bacterial SSU rRNA". It matches the Rfam family "Bacterial small subunit ribosomal RNA", at positions 18 to 427 of the family's 1533-position model. The record is from RNAcentral.
CAUGGCUCAGAUUGAACGCUGGCGGUAUGCUUAAGACAUGCAAGUCGAACGGAAUCUUCGGAUUCAGUGGCGGACGGGUGAGUAACACGUGGGAAUCUACUGAGUAGUGGGGGACAGCCCGGCGAAAGCCGGAUUAAUACCGCAUACGCCCUACGGGGGAAAGGCGCAAGCCGCUAUUCAAUGAGCCCGCGUAAGAUUAGCUAGUUGGUAAGGUAAAGGCUUACCAAGGCGACGAUCUUUAGCUGGUCUGAGAGGAUGGCCAGCCACAUCGGGACUGAGACACGGCCCGGACUCCUACGGGAGGCAGCAGUCGGGAAUAUUGGACAAUGGGCGCAAGCCGUGAUCCAGCAAUACCGCGUGUGUGAAGAAGGCCUGCGGGUUGUA